This 253-nucleotide ribosomal RNA is filed under the name uncultured bacterium. RNAcentral's name for it is "partial 16S ribosomal RNA". It matches the Rfam family "Bacterial small subunit ribosomal RNA", at positions 524 to 776 of the family's 1533-position model. The record is from RNAcentral.
UACAGAGGUCUCAAGCGUUGUUCGGAUUCAUUGGGCGUAAAGGGUGCGUAGGCGGCGCGGUAAGUCGGGUGUGAAAUCUCGGAGCUUAACUCCGAAACUGCAUUCGAUACUGCCGUGCUUGAGGACUGGAGAGGAGACUGGAAUUUACGGUGUAGCGGUGAAAUGCGUAGAUAUCGUAAGGAAGACCAGUGGCGAAGGCGACUUUCUGGUCUGUAACUGACACUGAGGCGCGAAAGCGUGGGGAGCGAACAGG